UAGUCCACACCGUAAACGAUGAGAGCUAGUUGUCUGCAAGCAUGCUUGUAGGUGACGCAGCUAACGCAUUAAGCUCUCCGCCUGGGGAGUACGGUCGCAAGAUUAAAACUCAAAGAAAUUGACGGGGGCCCGCACAAGCGGUGGAGCAUGUGGUUUAAUUCGAUGCAACGCGAAGAACCUUACCAGGUCUUGACAUCCUGAAAACUUUCUAGAGAUAGAUUGGUGCCUUCGGGAAUUCAGUGACAGGUGCUGCAUGGCUGUCGUCAGCUCGUGUCGUGAGAUGUUGGGUUAAGUCCCGUAACGAGCGCAACCCUUGUCCUUAGUUACCAGCGCGUUAUGGCGGGGGACUCUAGGGAGACUGCCGGUGACAAGCAGUGAGGAAGGAGGGGAUGACGUCAAAUCAUCAUGGCCUUUAUGCCUAGGGCUACACACGUGCUACAAUGGUAUUGACAAAGGGCUGCGAACUGGUGACAGUAAGCGAAUCCCAAAAA
RNAcentral lists this ribosomal RNA (491 nucleotides) under uncultured bacterium. RNAcentral describes it as "bacterial SSU rRNA". It matches the Rfam family "Bacterial small subunit ribosomal RNA", at positions 791 to 1280 of the family's 1533-position model. The record is from RNAcentral.